AUCCAGUAGACGAGUUCCAAAUAGGAUGAAACGCGCAUCCUAGAU
This 45-nucleotide non-coding RNA is filed under the name Schistosoma margrebowiei. Lineage: Eukaryota; Metazoa; Platyhelminthes; Trematoda; Strigeidida; Schistosomatidae. The record is from RNAcentral.